RNAcentral lists this ribosomal RNA (497 nucleotides) under uncultured bacterium. RNAcentral describes it as "partial 16S ribosomal RNA". It matches the Rfam family "Bacterial small subunit ribosomal RNA", at positions 28 to 507 of the family's 1533-position model. The record is from RNAcentral.
GAUGAACGCUGGCGGCGUGCCUAAUACAUGCAAGUCGAACGCAUAGCGAAAGGUGCUUGCACCUUUCAAGUGAGUGGCGAACGGGUGAGUAACACGUGGACAACCUGCCUCAAGGCUGGGGAUAACAUUUGGAAACAGAUGCUAAUACCGAAUAAAACUUAGUGUCGCAUGACACAAAGUUAAAAGGCGUUUCGGCGUCACCUAGAGUUGGAUCCGCGGUGCAUUAGUUAGUUGGUGGGGUAAAGGCCUACCAAGACAAUGAUGCAUAGCCGAGUUGAGAGACUGAUCGGCCACAUUGGGACUGAGACACGGCCCAAACUCCUACGGGAGGCUGCAGUAGGGAAUCUUCCACAAUGGGCGAAAGCCUGAUGGAGCAACGCCGCGUGUGUGAUGAAGGCUUUCGGGUCGUAAAGCACUGUUGUAUGGGAAGAACAGCUAGAAUAGGAAAUGAUUUUAGUUUGACGGUACCAUACCAGAAAGGGACGGCUAAAUACGUG